This is a long non-coding RNA of Oreochromis aureus, 2934 nucleotides long. NCBI's taxonomy places the organism in Eukaryota, Metazoa, Chordata, Actinopteri, Cichliformes, Cichlidae. The record is from Ensembl.
UGAUUUUUCUCCACACCCUGGUCCAUCCAGUGAGAGAGUGAGGAGAGUAGUGGUGGUCCACAGAGGGCAGGUAAUGUCAGAGCUCAUUUCACAUUUUAGUGAUAAGGACCUUGAAGAUGUCGACAUCAAAAUCCAGUUCGUACUGCCUGAUGGAACACCUGAAAUGGCCCAUGACGAUGGGGGAGUUGUGAGAGAUUGUCUUUCAGAAUUCUGGAAAGAAUUCUAUGACCAGUGCCCUUCUUAAGGCAUGAUUUUGGGCAACAGGAGUGGGAGAGUGUGGGCAGAAUCAUUGCAUUUGGAUGGGUUAGAGAGAAAUAUCUGCCUGUGAAAAUUGCACCUGCCAUUCUAGAACAAGCUGCCUUUGGAUAUGUAAAGAGUGAUAUUGUGGAGGAUUUCCUUAAGUUCAUGCCUGAAUCUGAGCGUACAGUGUUAGAGGCGUGGCGAUCAGACUUUAGCAUCGUGGACCAAGAAGAACUUAUAGACAUACUUGAUAACCACAGCUGCAGAAAGAUACCAACAGCCUACAAUGCCACUGAAGUCCUAUUGGAGCUUGCACACAAAACACUUGUCCAAGAGCCUGCCUAUGUUAUUGAACAGUGGGCAAGAACACUCAGCACUGCAUGGGAAAGCAUUUGUGAUCUAUCGUCACUUUUUGAAACCCUCCAACCAAAUGUUUUGCACAGGUUCAGAUUUACAUCUUGGAAAGAACAUCAUCAUUGGGUUUAACGAACUUAAAGGUUUCCAGAGACGACCUGUGGCACACACAUGUGGAUGUGUACUGGAGCUGUCGAUAAAUUAAGCACAAAGGUAAAUCAGUCCAUGCAGCUUUUAAUUGUUGUAGAUGGUGAUUCUUACACCUGCAGUAGUCCACAGCAAAGUAUACACAUACUUUGACAAUUGGCUGCUCACCUCAUCAUUCUUCUUGUCUUCGAUGUGCUCAAAGAAGUUCACAGCAUAACUACAGUCAGUAAAGGAUCAUUUGAAGCUGGACAAUCCAUCUCCAUCCCAUCUCUCCAUGACUCCCAAUACAUAAACCAUGUGAAGUACUUGUGUGAAGGAUAUUAUUGGAGAUACCCCCAGUCUCUAUGUGGAUCAUCAGAGAACUACAGGAUAUAUUGGAGGAAACAUAACCAUCAGAUGUCACCACAGUAACUCUGGAGAAAUGAAGUGGUGCAGGCUGGGCAAGAACUGUGUGACAGGAUCAUCAGGAUCUAUAGAUGGUGCAGCAGUGACCACUCACAUGAGAGACCCAAAUGUUUUCACAAUGACCGUGAGUGGACUAAGGUCAGAGGACAGUGGCUGGUAUUUGUGUGCUAAAGAGGACAUUGGGAGACUGACUACCUCUACCCACACUGUUGCUGGAAAUCUAACAUUUACCACAUUCGAAAAUAACCAACAUAGGUGAGAUAUCUUUGUAUUUAUAUUCACUAUGUGUGCAGUAUUAUGGUAUAUAAGUGGUAGAACUUUUCUUGUAAGGGAGUCCGUGUACAUAUUUUUAGAGACACUAUUAUUACUUAUUAAACUAAACUGUGUGUUCUCAAAAUAGAUUUUGUACAGCUUCAUUUGACCCUAAGAGCCUCAUCUUUUGUCUGAGUUUGUUGAUCUUCAUUUUAAUUGCGGUGCCGUUCAACUGUUUUAUAUUAAUAUACAGUAAGUGUUGCUUAACUUUGAUUACAAUUAAAUUCAUGUUCACUUUAUUGUGAAUUGUUGCACAGCAUCAGUAAAAGCAGUUUCGUUUUACUAGAGAAGCAUAAAGCAGAAUCACCAGUGACAGCAAUGGUUGAAGAGGAAGUAACAUACUCAGAAGUUAGAUACCUGAAAGGCAAGAUGGAUGGGGAAGUAACAGACUCCACUGUGAGAAAUGUGGGAAGAAAAACACCAAAGGAUAAAUGCACAGAAGUUACAUACAGCAUCCAUCCAUCCAGUCACCACUGAAAUAUUUAAAAAUUACAACUUUCUGCCUUUUUAUUUUUCUUAUCCGUAGCUGUAUUACUGAAGUCUUUGUCAGAGAAGUGAUGCAAUGUGUUGAAUCUACUGCUCAGCUUGUCCUGUAACUCUUUUCUUUAAGAUCUUUAAGCUGUCACAGUUUAUUUUGUAAUUCUUGAAUGGAAUUCUGGCUGUAAAAGAUGAGUUAAGGCUCCAUCAUGUGGUGGGUUUGAUAUAUGGUUGGAUUUUUAAUGUGAGAGAAUAUCCAUCCAUCCAUCCAUCCAUCCAUCCAUCCAUCCAUCCAUCCAUCCAUCCAUCCAUCUUUUUUCUGCUUAUCAGCUACCAUUCAGAGGAAACCCAUUUCUGCCGCUUGUAUCUGCGAUCUCGUUCUUUCAGCCUUAGAUUUGGAUGUGCUGAUUCUCAUUCCGACCGCUUCACACUCGGCUGCUAACUGUUCCAAUGUGAGCCACAUCAUCACAUCAACCACCACCACAUCAACCACGUCAUCCAUGAAAAGCAGAGAUAAGAUUCUGAGACCACUGAAGUGAAAGCCUUCCACCACUUGGCUGCGCCUAGAAAUUCUGGCAAUAAAAAUUACAAACAGAAUCGGUGACAUAGCCCUGGCAGAGCCCAUCACCCACCAGGAACAAGUCUGACUUAUUGCGGACCGAACUCUUGCAACGGUUGUAUUAGGAUCAAAAGGCCCGUAGCAAUGGGUCAAACACCCCAUACUCCCGGAGCACCUCCCAUAGUACACUCCAAGGGACACGAUCAAAUGCCUUCUCCAAACCCACAAAACACAUGUAGACUGUUGGGCAAACUCCCAUGCACCCUCAAGUAUCCUUGAGAGGAUAAAGAGCUGGUCCAGUGUUCCUCAGCCAGGACGAAAACCACAUUGUUCCUCCUGUAUCCAAGUUUCGACUAACAGAUGGACUCUCCUUUCCAGCACCCAUGUCUGCCAGUCCUGGGGUACUGCCCCACCCCUGAUCUCCACGCAAGAUUGUAGAG